UCUCUGACUGUUAGUGAUGCUCAUCGCUACUGAGGUUGAUUAUUGUUUCUAGACCUUUUCAGGCGACAGAACUGGAAGUGGGGUGGGGAAUCUAUUGCAUGUGGGUAACAAUCGUCUGUGCCUUGUUGGAGGACGUCAUUGGGAGGAUGUGACCACUGGUUGACCUGUGAGCUGGACGCAGGCAGUCGAAGGCGCCCCAUCCCGCUCCUGUGUUUGGAAGGUGCCUUCCACUCGCCUUCUCCGCACUAGAAGCUGCUCCAAAGACACAGCCUUGAGAGACAAGGUGUUGCUGAGAACAUCUAAGUUUUAAAAAGGUGUUUGAUCUUGGUUUGAAGCAGUCGUAGGCUGAUUUUGUUCCAUGGACAUGCGUUUCUGGUGUGCAUCUCUUCUCCUGGGCGCGGGGCCUGAUCCUAGAAGUGAGCCCUCGGUGUUCACUCAGACAUCUGCCAGCCGCCCAGUACUGGAGAGGACCACACUCUUCCCCGUUUCAGCUGCUGUUUCAGAUGGACCCUCCGUGUUUUCUAGGGAACACCCGUGGGCUCUUUCUGAGAGGU
Molecule: long non-coding RNA, 554 nt
Organism: Phyllostomus hastatus (greater spear-nosed bat)
Lineage: Eukaryota; Metazoa; Chordata; Mammalia; Chiroptera; Phyllostomidae
Exons: 2
Source: RefSeq, a predicted model, not a curated record